GACGAACGCUGGCGGCGUGCUUAACACAUGCAAGUCGAGCGGUAAGGCCCUUUCGGGGGUACGACGAGCGGCGAACGGGUGAGUAACACGUGGGUGACCUGCCCUCAGCUCUGGGAUAAGCCUGGGAAACUGGGUCUAAUACCGGAUAUGACUCCAUGACGCAUGUUGUGGGGUGGAAAGCCUUGUGCGGCUGAGGAUGGGCCCGCGGCCUAUCAGCUUGUUGGUGGGGUGAGGCCUACCAAGGCGACGACGGGUAGCCGGCCUGAGAGGCGACCGGCCACACUGGGACUGAGACACGGCCCAGACUCCUACGGGAGGCAGCAGUGGGGAAUCUUGCGCAAUGGGCGAAAGCCUGACGCAGCGACGCCGCGUGAGGGAUGACGGCCUCGGUU
This 392-nucleotide ribosomal RNA is filed under the name uncultured bacterium. Its description in RNAcentral is "bacterial SSU rRNA". It matches the Rfam family "Bacterial small subunit ribosomal RNA", at positions 28 to 424 of the family's 1533-position model. The record is from RNAcentral.